GAUGAACGCUGGCGGCGUGCUUAACACAUGCAAGUCGAACGGAAAGGCUCCUGCUUGCUGGGGUUCUCGAGUGGCGAACGGGUGAGUAACACGUGGGUGAUCUGCCCUGCACUUCGGGAUAAGCCUGGGAAACUGGGUCUAAUACCGGAUAGGACGAUGGUUUGGAUGCCAUUGUGGAAAGUUUUUCGGUGUGGGCUGAGCUCGGGGCCUAUGAGCGUGUUGGUGGGGGAAUGGCCUACCAAGGCGUCGACGGGUAGCCGGCCUGAGAGGGGGUACGGCCACAUUGGGACUGAGAUACGGAGCAGACUCCAAUGGGGGGCAGCAGGGGGGAAUCUUGCACAAUGGGCGCAAGUCUGAUGCAGCGGCGCCGCGUGUGUGAUGACGGCCUUCGGGUUAUAAACUGCUUUCGCUAGGGACGAAGCUCAAGUGACGGUACCUGGAGAAGAAGCACCGGCUAACUACGUG
RNAcentral lists this ribosomal RNA (465 nucleotides) under uncultured bacterium. RNAcentral's name for it is "partial 16S ribosomal RNA". It matches the Rfam family "Bacterial small subunit ribosomal RNA", at positions 28 to 507 of the family's 1533-position model. The record is from RNAcentral.